GCUUAACCAUCUUCUUUUUAAAAUUCCUCAACCUCCCCUCAACCCAUUUUUAUUAAAGAGCAAUUCUAUAUCUUUAUAGAAGAUUUAAUGUUAAAACUAGUAAUAAGAAGCAGACCCUUCUCUUUAAUGUAAACUUAUAUCAGCAAGGACACCNCCACUGAUCUUUAACGUCCCUAAAAUUAUAGUAAAAACUUAUCAAGAAAACAUUACUCUUAUUUACGUUAACCUUACACAAGAACAUUUUAAGAAAGAUUAAAAGGAAAAGAAGGAACUCGGCAAAUAUUAGCCCCGCCUGUUUACCAAAAACAUCGCCUCUUGAUUAUUUAUAAGAGGUCCAGCCUGCCCAGUGACUUUGUUCAACGGCCGCGGUAUCCUAACCGUGCGAAGGUAGCGUAAUCACUUGUUCUUUAAAUGAGGACUAGUAUGAAUGGCCCCACGAAGGCUACACUGUCUCCUUUUCCUAAUCAAUGAAACUAAUCUUCCCGUGAAGAAGCGGGAAUAAUAAUAUAAGACGAGAAGACCCUAUGGAGCUUUAAACUAUAGAAACACUUGCUUUUUACCUUUAACCCUCCCGAGGUUCNUCCAAAUAUUUAAGCAAUUUUUAUUUCUAGUUUUAGGUUGGGGUGACCACGGAGUAAAAUUUAACCUCCAUGAUGAAAGAGACCCUCUCUUAGCUAAAAGCUACCUCUUUAAGCACCAACAAAUUGACUCUCAUUGACCCAAUUAAUUGAUCAACGAACCAAGUUACCCUAGGGAUAACAGCGCAAUCUACCUCGAGAGCUCAUAUCGACAGGUGGGUUUACGACCUCGAUGUUGGAUCAGGGUAUCCUAGUGGUGCAGCCGCUACUGAUGGUUCGUUUGUUCAACGAUUAAAACCCUAC
This 881-nucleotide ribosomal RNA is filed under the name Epipedobates boulengeri. RNAcentral describes it as "partial 16S ribosomal RNA". It matches the Rfam family "Bacterial large subunit ribosomal RNA", at positions 1420 to 2599 of the family's 2925-position model. Lineage: Eukaryota; Metazoa; Chordata; Amphibia; Anura; Dendrobatidae. The record is from RNAcentral.